Long non-coding RNA from Haliotis rubra (blacklip abalone), 473 nucleotides. RefSeq lists it as uncharacterized. The transcript has 3 exons. The record is from RefSeq and is a predicted model, not a curated record. NCBI's taxonomy places the organism in Eukaryota, Metazoa, Mollusca, Gastropoda, Lepetellida, Haliotidae.
CAGUAUCUUCUGGUUAUGGUCCAAAGAGCUGUGCCAACAUCCAUAUCUGUCCUGAUUACAGGUCCUCCAGUAUCUUCUGGUUAUGGUCCAAAGAGCUGUGCCAACAUCCAUAUCUGUCCUGAUUACAGGUCCUCCAGUAUCUUCUGGUUAUGGUCCAAAGAGCUGUGCCAACAUCCAUAUCUGUCCUGAUUACAGGUCCUCCAGUAUCUUCUGGUUAUGGUCCAAAGAGCUGUGCCAACAUCCAUAUCUGUCCUGAUUACAGGUGCUCCAGUAUCUUCUGGUUAUGGUCCAAAGAGCUGUGCCAACAUCCAUAUCUGUCCUGAUUACAGGUCCUCCAGUAUCUUCUGGUUAUGGUCCAAAGAGCUGUGCCAACAUCCAUAUCUGUCCUGAUUACAGGUCCUCCAGUAUCUUCUGGUUAUGGUCCAAAGAGCUGUGCCAACAUCCAUAUCUGUCCUGAUUACAGGUCCUACAGC